UAAUGGAAUAUCUGAGUAUACACACCAUUAUGAAAAGUGGCAGUGUUCCACAAGUAAAGUUCUUAACAGAUGUCAAUGGGUGAUGUUUACAGUUUGUGGCAGCAUAUUCACAUGAAGUAUAGAACAUGAAGCAGUGGUGAUUCCAACUGCUGUACCCAUACAAAAGAGGCCAAGGCACAGACCUUGUAUACAGAUGAAGAUCUCCUGUGAUUAUUUCUUUCUCCUCCUCAUUUGAUAACUGAAAAUAUAAGGAUGCCCUGCCACUCAGUCCAAGUUCUGACUUAUAAUUUCAGAAAUAAAUUAAGAUCAUCUAAACCAGAA
Haliotis rubra (blacklip abalone) is the source of this 321-nucleotide long non-coding RNA. RefSeq lists it as uncharacterized. The transcript is spliced from 3 exons. NCBI's taxonomy places the organism in Eukaryota, Metazoa, Mollusca, Gastropoda, Lepetellida, Haliotidae. The record is from RefSeq and is a predicted model, not a curated record.